RNAcentral lists this long non-coding RNA (3702 nucleotides) under Olea europaea subsp. europaea. Lineage: Eukaryota; Viridiplantae; Streptophyta; Magnoliopsida; Lamiales; Oleaceae. The record is from RNAcentral.
CAACAUGCUGAGUCUAGGUACCAGAAAAAUUCAGACAAGUAGUAGGCAAAAUUAUGCAAGCGGAAGUGUAAAGAAGAAUAACACACGAUCACUAAAAGAAAUUUGCUAGAUAAACAGGGCUAACAGGCCCCAGUCCCGCCAUGGGUGGGGUCGGUCAGGGGGCCCGUCAGACUCUCUGUUUUUCUAGCAAGUCUCUUACUAAAAUGUUAUUUUCGUACAAAUAAGCAAUUGAAAAGAUAUUUAAAGAACAAUCUUCAAGGAUUUAAUUAUAUUACUCAAACAACCGUAACCACACACCCAUGUCCUAUGUUAUACAAACAAAAACAAAAACAAACUCAAAAACUGAGAAUAUCCAAGCUCAACAAUGAUAGCUCAGCAUCUCAUUUCAACUAUGUGUCAACUGCAGAUUGGCUUUCAAUCUGCAAACAAAAAGCAACAACAAAAUAUGGAUAAUCUCUUAAAUCCACUCUUCAAUUUCAUUUUCCUAGAAAUGGAAAUCUGUUGGGAUUAUUGGCCCCAGAUUUGAUUUUACCUCAAUGAUCUUUUAGUUUCAGCCACUCAGUCAAACCAAAAACAUCUAUCAUUUGGCAAAAAUCACAACAUCUCAAACAGUAAAUAAAAUGCAGAAAAUGUAAAGAAUAAGAACACCAAAAAAUGGUCACCCAGUUCACCCAAAUAAGGGCUAAUCUGGGGGGCUCAGGAUCAGCCCAAUCCACUAUGUAAAACCAGCCUUCCAAAGAGAUCAAUGUACAAAGGAACCAAUCUGACUUUUUCUUAAGGUUCUAAUCAUAGAUCACAUAAAGAUCUCAAGAACCAGAUAUAAGAAUCAACCCUAAACUUGACAAGAACUAACACAGCUAAACUAGUGCACCACACUAAAAAAUAACAGAUUGAAACCUUUCUUUCAAGUCUACAACACAAUAGUUAUACAAUUCUUUAACCUCUCCAAUAAUCACAGUGAAACAUAAUGGAAAUUGGAAGAAUUUCACAGAGAGAGAGAGAGAGAGAGCCACCUUUUAAAAAUCUCCAGAAAGAAUGAGAACUCUCUUGCCACUAAAAAUAGGUAGCACAAGAGUCAUAAAAACCGUAUGUAAUCAAGAUUAAAUCCUAGCCACACAUUAUGAUCCAAUGCCUCACAAUGGAGUUGAAGAAGCACAAUCCUCAUUUUAGUAAAAUAACCAAUUGGUGGUUGCCAUGUGGCCCUCCAAACCAAUUAAAAAAGACAAAGUAGCACUUCUUUUAAAUAACUCAAAAGUUUCCAAUUUAGUGAAACACGCCUUUUACACUUUCAAUCUUCACCUUGUUUCACUAAAUACACCGACUCUCUUAGUUGCAUGGUUUACAUAGUAAGACUGAUCAUCAUCAUUGCCCGGUACCUGCAAAAGAAUUAUCCAUUAUCAAUAAACGAAAUUGAUAAACCAAAAUUUAAACAUACUAGUUGAAAGCAUUUUAAGUCUCAUAUCAAAUGGACAUACAUCAACUUGAAUUUUCUCAAGAUUUAACUUCACCUGAAGCUAUCUUAUCCUUUUAGAAGAUGAUACUUCACCUUAACAUAUGUUUACCUCUCAUAAUGAGCAAAAUUUAUAAGACUAACAAUGAGAUUAAUGCAAGUAUCAUGCAGAAAAUUCAAAUUACACAAAAUCCCUUUCAACCAAAUCCAUUCUUUCACAAAUUUCAGAUUUAUGCAGUCAUUUUCCAAUGUAAAGAAGUAGGUAAUAAUGGAUUUCAUGUGAUCUUUGCCACGCACAAAGUCAACAUCCACACAUCCUUUAAGGAUCAACCUAUCAAGCAUUUUCAAUUUACAAACAAUGUCAUUCUUCACCUCAAAGCCUAGUAGUUGACUCUUAUGGAUAUUUUCCCUCAAUUCCCAAUGUAGGAAAGCAGUUUUAACAUCUAGUGGUUCAAAUUCACAAUUGAAUUGAAUAAUGCUAAAAACAAUCUUACUAUUUUAUAUUCAAUGACAAGGGAAAAUAUCUCAAUAUAGUCAAACCCCUCUUUCAGUUUGUAAAUCCACUUACAUUGUACCGUUCUUUGACCAUUAGGCAAAUUAACCAAACUCCCUCUAGCCCUAACCAAUUUGUAAUGCUGGAUAGAAUUCUCUUCAAUUAUUGGGGUGUUAGUUUCCUUUUCAUUUUCACCAUGAGGUACAUCAACCUCAUCAAUUACAGGCUCAUUCUCAUCGGAAUGAGUGAAGUCAUAUUUUGCCAACUUCACCUCAUUCUGAAAUUUCUUGUGAGAUUCAAUUUCCUGAGAAUCAUCAUGUUUUCUAAAUUUUAAACAAGGCAUUUCAGAUUCAUUAAACAUAACAUCCUUGCUGUUAAUGAUCUUAAUAUCAGGUUCCCCUAAAAUCCACAACCUAUAACCUUUAAUCCCCUUAGGAUAGCCUAGCAUAACACAUCUAAUAUCCCUAGGCACCAACUUGCCCUCAGUUUGGCGUGUAUAUGCCAUAUACACAAACACUCUAAUAUGUGCUAAAUUUGGUGGCUUCCCUGUCCAUAGUUCUUGAGGAGUCUUAAACUCGACAUAACUAGAUAGAGAUCUAUUAAUCAAAUAUGCUGCUUUGCAUAAUGCCUCAGCCCAAAACCCUUUAGCAAGUCUUGAACUGACUAACAUGCACCUAGCCUUAUUCAUCAAAGUCUUAUUGAUUCUUUUCGCUACCCCAUCAUGUUGAAGUGUGUACUUAACCGUCCUUUGUCUCAUGAUUCCCUUUUGCUUACAAAAGUUAUCAAAUUCCGCGUUAAAAACUCUAUACCAUUAUUCGUUCUUAGAGUUUUUAACCUUUUAUCCAAUUGAUUUUCCACAAUUUUAAGCCAAGUCCGAAAUUUAUGAAAAGUCUCAAAUUUAGCCUUUAAGGGGGUAAACCCAUACUUUUUUAGAGUAAUCAUCUACUAAGGAUAGAAAGUACUUAUUUCCACCAAAGUUGGGAUGCUCUUCAGGCUCCCACAAAUCUGCAUGGACAUAAUCCAAAUGUCUUUUCGCUAUAUGUGAACCCACCUCAAAACACACCCUGUGAGACUUUCCCAACAAACAAGUCUCAUAAAAAUUUAAAGGUUUAAUAAGACCUUUACCAUGUAACUUUUGGUCACUCAAAAAUGUUUCAAACAUUUAUUUCCUAUAUGCCCCAUUCUUUUGUGCCACAAUUUAGAUGUUUCAUCAAUAACAAUAAGGUGAUUAGCUUCUUGUGAAGUAAUUGCCUCACCCAUUAGGUAGUAAAACCCAUUUUUCUUAGGUCCCAGAUUUGAUUUUACCUCAAUGAUCUUAUAUUUUCAGUCACUCAAUCAAACCAAAAACAUCUAUCAUUCGGAAAAAAUCACGCAUCUCAAACAGUAAAUAAAAUGAAGAAAAUGUAAAGAAUAAUAACACCAAAAAUGGUCACCCAGUUCACCCAAAUAAGGGUUAAUCUGGGGGGCUCAAGAUCAACCCAAUCCUCUACGUAAAACCAGCCUUCCAAAGAGAUCAAUGUACAAAGGAACCAAUCUGACUUUCUCUUAAGGUUCUAAUCAUAGAUCACACAAAGAUCUCAAGAACCAGAUACAAGAAUCAACCCUAAACUUGACAAGAACUAACACAGCUAAACCAGUGCACCACAGUAAAAAAUAACAGACCGAAACCUUUCUUUCAAGUCUAUAACACAAGGGUUAUACAAUUCUUUAACCUCUCCAAUAAUCACAGUGAAACAUAAUAGAAAUUGGAAGAAUUUCA